CUCCUUUGACGUUAGCGGCGGACGGGUGAGUAACACGUGGGUAACCUACCUAUAAGACUGGGAUAACUUCGGGAAACCGGAGCUAAUACCGGAUAAUAUUUCGAACCGCAUGGUUCGAUAGUAAAAGGUGGUUUUGCUAUCACUUAUAGAUGGACCCGCGCCGUAUUAGCUAGUUGGUAAGGUAACGGCUUACCAAGGCGACGAUACGUAGCCGACCUGAGAGGGUGAUCGGCCACACUGUAACUGAGACACGGUCCAUACUCCUACGGGAGGCAGCAGGU
This 281-nucleotide ribosomal RNA is filed under the name uncultured Staphylococcus sp. Its description in RNAcentral is "partial 16S ribosomal RNA". It matches the Rfam family "Bacterial small subunit ribosomal RNA", at positions 81 to 354 of the family's 1533-position model. Lineage: Bacteria; Bacillati; Bacillota; Bacilli; Caryophanales; Staphylococcaceae. The record is from RNAcentral.